AUCCGGCUGACGAGUCCCAAAUAAGACAAAACGAACGUUAUGGAU
RNAcentral lists this non-coding RNA (45 nucleotides) under Schistosoma haematobium. Lineage: Eukaryota; Metazoa; Platyhelminthes; Trematoda; Strigeidida; Schistosomatidae. The record is from RNAcentral.